RNAcentral lists this ribosomal RNA (498 nucleotides) under uncultured bacterium. RNAcentral's name for it is "partial 16S ribosomal RNA". It matches the Rfam family "Bacterial small subunit ribosomal RNA", at positions 28 to 507 of the family's 1533-position model. The record is from RNAcentral.
GACGAACGCUGGCGGCAUGCCUAAUACAUGCAAGUUGAACGAUGAUAUUCUCUGCUUGCCGAGAAUUGAAGAGUAGCGAACGGGUGAGUAACACGUGGGGAACCUGCCCAUGAGAGGGGGAUAACAUUCGGAAACGGAUGCUAAUACCGCAUAAUGCUUUGGACCGCCUGGUCCAGAGACGAAAGACGGCUUUUGCUGUCACUCUUGGAUGGCCCCGCGCCGUAUUAGCUAGUUGGUGAGGUAAUGGCUCACCAAAGCUGUGAUACGUAGCCGACCUGAGAGGGUGAUCGGCCACACUGGGACUGAGACACGGCCCAGACUCCUACGGGAGGCAGCAGUAGGGAAUCUUCCACAAUGGGCGAAAGCCUGAUGGAGCAAUGCCGCGUGAAUGAAGAAGGUCUUCGGAUCGUAAAGUUCUGUUAUUAGAGAAGAACAAGUCAAGGAGUAACUGUCUUGACUUUGACGGUACCUAACCAGAAAGUCACGGCUAACUACGUG